UGAUGGGAUGGCUCCGCUCAGAACAGAGCCCUUACACCAUCUUCAUCAUCACACCACUGGACUAUGUUGAAACUCUAGGUCAGGGACCUCAUGUUUCUUUGUCACCACCACAGCCCCAGGGCCCAGCAGGUGCAGCAGACAGAGAAGGGACGCAUGUGCCUGUUACUCCGUCUGCUGUAGGUCAGGUCCACAGAAGAAUCAGCCCCAGAGAAAGACGGAAAAAGAGCUAUUGGUGAGAACUUUGCAUAAAUAUUCAACCUAUGUAUCUAUCUUCUCUAGCCACAUAAUCACAUCCUUUUAUUUCACCAGUAAAAGGAUG
This is a long non-coding RNA of Lutra lutra (Eurasian river otter), 319 nucleotides long. RefSeq lists it as uncharacterized. The record is from RefSeq and is a predicted model, not a curated record. NCBI's taxonomy places the organism in Eukaryota, Metazoa, Chordata, Mammalia, Carnivora, Mustelidae. The transcript is spliced from 3 exons.